UACGUAGGGUGCAAGCGUUGUCCGGAAUUAUUGGGCGUAAAGAGCUCGUAGGCGGCUCGUCGCGUCGGCUGUGAAAGCCUGGGGCUCAACCCCGGGCCUGCAGCCGAUACGGGCAGGCUAGAGUUCGGCAGGGGAGACUGGAAUUCCUGGUGUAGCGGUGAAAUGCGCAGAUAUCAGGAGGAACACCGGUGGCGAAGGCGGGUCUCUGGGCCGAUACUGACACUGAGGAGCGAAAGCGUGGGGAGCGAACAGG
RNAcentral lists this ribosomal RNA (253 nucleotides) under uncultured bacterium. RNAcentral describes it as "partial 16S ribosomal RNA". It matches the Rfam family "Bacterial small subunit ribosomal RNA", at positions 524 to 776 of the family's 1533-position model. The record is from RNAcentral.